GCCCGGGUGGCGGAAUUGGCAGACGCGCUAGAUUCAGGAUCUAGUGGGGGCAACCCCGUGCUGGUUCGACUCCAGUCCCGGGCACCA
Molecule: transfer RNA, 87 nt
Filed under: Deltaproteobacteria bacterium
Lineage: Bacteria; Pseudomonadati; Myxococcota; Myxococcia
Description: tRNA-Leu
Rfam family: tRNA
About the family: Transfer RNA (tRNA) molecules are approximately 80 nucleotides in length. Their secondary structure includes four short double-helical elements and three loops (D, anti-codon, and T loops). Further hydrogen bonds mediate the characteristic L-shaped molecular structure. tRNAs have two regions of fundamental functional importance: the anti-codon, which is responsible for specific mRNA codon recognition, and the 3' end, to which the tRNAs corresponding amino acid is attached (by aminoacyl-tRNA synthetases). tRNAs cope with the degeneracy of the genetic code in two manners: having more than one tRNA (with a specific anti-codon) for a particular amino acid; and 'wobble' base-pairing, i.e. permitting non-standard base-pairing at the 3rd anti-codon position.
Source: RNAcentral